Long non-coding RNA from Manis pentadactyla (Chinese pangolin), 2408 nucleotides. RefSeq lists it as uncharacterized. Lineage: Eukaryota; Metazoa; Chordata; Mammalia; Pholidota; Manidae. The record is from RefSeq and is a predicted model, not a curated record. The transcript has 3 exons.
AUAGUAGUGAAGGGAGAGACCGGCUCAAUAAGGAGGCUCUGGGCAUGAGACUCUAAAUUCCUUCAGUUGAAGGGUAUUAUGUUACCUAAUGGACUGUGAAGAAUUGACAAGAUAUGUGCUGGUUUACCUAGUACACCCUGGCGGUUGGUCAGAGAUCUCAUAAUCGGCAAGAUUGGGGCACCUGCCCUGUUCCUGGGCCUUGGAGUUUGUUACAGCCUCAUCUGUGGGGUGGGAAGAUGGGCCAGGGAGGGCUUUUGACGUCUUUAAAUCCCACCUGGGAAGGAAUUUCUGACCAAAUGUCAGAUGAUACCAAUCAAAGUCUGAUCCAGCCCCAAGGGUGUUGCCAGAAUCCCCGUGCGCAGCCCACUCCAGAGAUGCCCCCAGGGCGCCCACCGCGCACCGGGGACACUCAGCACAAACUCCUCCCCACAUUUUUUUCCUGUAAGACGAGGAGUUCAUGGAUGUGGUCAGCUAUACAGCCUGUUUGGUCUGCAGGAUGUGCUGGGAAUCCUGUUCCUCUGGCAGACUAAACAGUCUCCAACUGCCUUUGGAAGUUGCAGCAACUGGACGGUACAAAGAAACAAACACUGAUAUGUGUGGAGAUGAGAGUAUGCACGCUAUGCUUUGUGCACUCAGUUACCCAAAAUGCUGAAGCAGAUUUGAGUUUACUUGCUCCUGUUGAGAAUGUAGAACAUCAUCAGAGCCUAGUGAAAUAUAACCAAAAAGGCUCCGCAGGUAUUUCUGGUGAAAUAUGGUAGAGCCAUUUCCAGGAAACAAGUUCCCUCCCACAGCAUAGAAGAGAACAUUUUGCUUCUUCACCCAAGAGAUCUACAGAAACUGCUGGUUGAUAGGAAGUACAUCAAGGAACUGGAAAAACGCCUUGCCUUGGCCGUUCCAGCUGCUGGCAGCUUCUGUGAUCAGUCUCAGAGGUCGGGUACGCCCUUCCAGGAUCACAAUUUUGAGCCUAUUCCUAGCGCCCCGUGCCAUCUUUGCCUCCAGCGAACGGAAACCCUUUGCCUUCCUGCAGAGCCGAGGGGGAUUCUUAUCUGCCUCCCCCACUCCUCUUUCCCCUCCUCCCAUUUAGCAGUUUGCGUUCUUAGCUUGUCUUUCAUUCAGCCAAGGGUAGUAUGUAAGAGGGCAUGACUUCUUGCCAAGAUCCAACAUUCUGGGGAAGACUGUGUUGCUCAGCUAGAGGAGGUCGGGGAGUGCGCCGGUGAGUACCCACCCUGGCACUACAGUGCUGGGCAAAUGUGUUUCUGGCCUCCUAAACUGGGUGUCUGAAUGUAUUUUACGAAAACAAGCCCCAUGGUUAAAACAGUGAUGAGUCUCAAACUACCAGCACAGCUUUAUACUUUGAGGACUUCAGUCCAAGCUCCCCAGAAGCGGGAAAGAGGCUUAAUACAGCCCACAGUGCAGCACUGCCUUCUGCCCUGUGAACCCAACCAGUGCGUAGAGCGCAUUGUGUGAGAAAAUACUUCCUAAAUCCUGAAUCUUAAGACUGUAAAGCAGAGAAUUACAAAUCAGCGACUCCCCUGUACAACGACCUGGGGUUCUACGGUUUAUUCACUCAGGUAUAUUGCUGAUUUCAUGCAUUUCUACUGUAUAUACAUUUCUACCAUAAAGAACUGACUUAGAUAAAUUUUACCAUCUAUUAGGAAAGUUUCGAUAGUCCUCAGUGACAAUAGGGAUGUUCAGGAAAUACGCCACUGGUGGGAGUGUAAAUCAUGCAACAUUUUAAGGCCAAUUAAGUAAUACCUAUGUAAAAUACUACUAUGAGAAACAUAAAUGUCCAUUGCUGAGUGUGGGUAAAAUUGUAACAUUUCUAGAAUAUCUCACCUAGCUUUAGUACAUCUGCUUAUCAAUAGGCAUUGAGAGGUUGAAAGAAGUAUGUCUUUAGUGCGUUUGUACCGUUCCUCAGGGGUGGAGAGAAAUUAAUCUCCAUAUCAAUGGGUAAUUACCUAGGCAAUGGAGGACUUACCUGUACUUGAGAGGUGAGGGGGAGGGCUGGUUUUGCUUCUGCUGGAGCAGGAAAGAGAAGGCCCUGGACUGCAGUUUGUAAGCAACAAAUGAAUUUUAAACUUUAUUUCUCCCUUUGACUGAUUUCAGUUUUAGAGGUAUUUUGCCCUGGGAUUUACUUCUCCCCGGACUUACACUGAGGUUCUGGUUAAAGCAUAGUAAUACAAAUAUUGGAAUAAUAUGAAAAAAACUUUUUUUUUUUAAGUAGCAGAUAGAUUUUACUGAUGUUCGAAAUUGCCCAACAUACACUUAAUUUGUAGGAAGAAAAGUUGUGGAAGAGGAUGCAUAUCAUGAUCCUAUUUAUGGAUUCUAUACACGUUUUUAUAUUUGUUGAGACGUGUGUACAUGGGGGUGUGUUUGCUUUAAUAUAAGCUUUGGAAUUUUGUUAAAGG